CAGCAAGUCCGGGAAGGCUGUUUUGUGGAAUGAGAGAUUUGGGCAAGAGUAAUUGCUUCUUUUUUGCCUCUAGCUAUGUUAGACACAUGCAGUCUCUCCCCACAGGGGAGGGAUGUCAGCAGCUGGUAUAGUGAAGCUGAGGGAAUUAAGCCUGGGUAAAAAGUUCCUAAUCUACUUCGCUCUGCUCCCUGAGGUCAGGGAUGCAGUGGCAGGCGGUCUGCAACGCUGGUUAGUGAAAGCUGGCCUGCGGGAAUGAGCACUUUCCCACCAUGCCCUGUGCUGGCAGAAGGUGCCCACACGCUGCCCAGGUGCUCAUGGGUAACACCCUCACGCCUCUGAAAGACUUGGAGGUGAAGUGCUUGCAUCAUGGUCCUCUUGUGUCCAGCUGUUUGGCUGAACCCGGGCUGGAAAAAAAAAAGCAGAAUUAUCUUGGAUCCUAAGGUUCUCUUUUCUUCACCCUCCAUAAGUUCCCUGGGACCAACUUGUAGGAUGGAGGCCUGUCACACCCGUAUUGGAGAGGCUGGAGUCCAUCUUUGCACUUGAGGGACUUGGCUUCUAAGAAAACAAGGCAAAGGAAAGUUUUGUGAAAUUCUCCAAACUGUAGGGUCACCUACAGAGCUGCCUGUUUUAUUCUAUGGUGGUUGGUUCCAGGAGGACCCUGUCGUUUGGUCAGUGGAGCCAAAAGCUGAAGAAUUUUGUUGGAGAGUCAUUGAAGAAAAAGUCAUGUUUUCUUGACUCUUUGGUGGGAGUGCUGUCUGAAGUAUCCUGGAGUUGUGACAGCGUCCUUAGUUGUCUGCCUUCUCUGCUGUUUGAAGUGCUUCAGCACUGACAACAUGGAGAGGAACUGUGAGUUCCCAGGCCAACCAGGUAACCACGCCUGUUACAUCAGUGACCUAUCAGUGUGUGUGAAAUUGAGUCUCUAGGCCCUCCUGUUCCAGAAAAGUGCAUGAGAACUUCUUGAGCUUGAUGUGUAUUCCCCGUGACAGGCUCUGGGGCUCACGAUGCAGACAAGAGGUGAGUGCUACUGCUCAGGGCCUUCUCCGACCAGAUUGGCCAUCCUCAAACUUCAGUUUGGCUCCGUCUCUUCUAGUCUCCAGCUU
Molecule: long non-coding RNA, 1100 nt
Organism: Cebus imitator (Panamanian white-faced capuchin)
Lineage: Eukaryota; Metazoa; Chordata; Mammalia; Primates; Cebidae
Exons: 3
Source: RefSeq, a predicted model, not a curated record